RNAcentral lists this ribosomal RNA (255 nucleotides) under uncultured bacterium. RNAcentral's name for it is "partial 16S ribosomal RNA". It matches the Rfam family "Bacterial small subunit ribosomal RNA", at positions 524 to 776 of the family's 1533-position model. The record is from RNAcentral.
CACGUAGGGGGCGAGCGUUGUCCGGAAUCAUUGGGCGUAAAGAGCGUGUAGGCGGCUAGAUAGGUCCGUUGUGAAAACUCGAGGCUCAACCUCGAGACGUCGAUGGAAACCAUCUGGCUAGAGUUCGGUAGGGGAUCACGGAAUUCCUGGUGUAGCGGUGAAAUGACGCAGAGUAUCAGGAGGAACACCGGUGGCGAAGGCGGUGGUCUGGGCCGACACUGACGCUGUAGAGCGAAAGCGUGGGGAGCGAACAGG